RNAcentral lists this ribosomal RNA (344 nucleotides) under uncultured bacterium. RNAcentral describes it as "bacterial SSU rRNA". It matches the Rfam family "Bacterial small subunit ribosomal RNA", at positions 355 to 711 of the family's 1533-position model. The record is from RNAcentral.
UAGGGAAUAUUGGGGCAAUGGGGCGCAAGCCUGACCCAGCAACGCCGCGUGAGGGAAGAAGGUUUUCGGAUUGUAAACCUCUGUCCUAUGUGACGAAGGAAGUGACGGUAGCAUAGGAGGAAGCCCCGGCUAACUACGUGCCAGCAGCCGCGGUAAUACGUAGGGGGCGAGCGUUGUCCGGAAUUACUGGGCGUAAAGGGUGCGUAGGCGGUUUUGUAAGUUGGAUGUGAAAUACCCGGGCUUAACUUGGGGGCUGCAUCCAAUACUGCAGGACUUGAGUGCAGGAGAGGAAAGCGGAAUUCCUAGUGUAGCGGUGAAAUGCGUAGAUAUUAGGAGGAACACCG